GGGGCCGUGGGCUAGCCUGGCUAGGCUGCGAGCCUCGGGAGCUCGUGGUCCCGGGUUCAAAUCCCGGCGGCCCCACCA
RNAcentral lists this transfer RNA (78 nucleotides) under Candidatus Bathyarchaeota archaeon. RNAcentral describes it as "tRNA-Pro". It matches the Rfam family "tRNA". From Rfam's summary of the family: Transfer RNA (tRNA) molecules are approximately 80 nucleotides in length. Their secondary structure includes four short double-helical elements and three loops (D, anti-codon, and T loops). The record is from RNAcentral. Lineage: Archaea; Thermoproteati; Candidatus Bathyarchaeota. RNAcentral also lists the same sequence under 1 other name.